AGGAAGAAAGGCCUGGUGAUCUACUUCAGAAAAAUCAGCCAUUGAAAACCCUGUGUAGCACAGUUCUGCUCCGGCACAAGUAGAGUCGCCACAAGUCGGAGACAACUGGACAGCGAUUGGUUGGGAGAGUCCUCUUGGAAGCAAGAUGAGCCUGCAGUUUCCAGAGCAGAACCAGACUCCUGCGUCAUGUUUAUGGCACCUGUCUUUCCACAUAUUCGAGCACAGGACUUUGCUUCUCCCAGCACAUCUCUCUUCAGAGACACAGCUCAACAGACACAGCUCUGAAGCAACAAAGAAGCAGCUCUUUCUCAAGGGGUCUCCUCUUCUCCCUGCUUCCUGACAAAUGGGGCCUAGCUUUGUCCCUUGUGGAUUUAGGGCAGAUGUCCUGGUGCUGUAACAUGGAGGACAGGCAGCUGAUGGCCUUCUAAGCACCACUGGAUGUGGGCCUCAGAAUUUCCUAAUGGGGUAUCAGGCUUAAAUGACAGACAUUGUGAUCCUAAGGAGGAGUCCAGCUGAGGCAAAAAGAAUCACCUACCUCGGACUCAGUCAUGACUGAAGAGCAGGAAAAAAAAUGCUGAACCACAGACAUCAAGAUGGAUUAUCAGACACAAAUAUUCCAGAGCCAGAGAAGCUUCCAGACUCCCACACCUGCUUGCCUGCUUGAAAGUGGAGUUAAUUCAGCAGCUGGCCCUGGGCUCUGUUCCCCUUCAGUGAGAAGGGUUUUUGUACAACCAGGCAAUGAAGAGCUAUCACUGUGGUGGACGUUCGGCGCAGGGACCAAGGUGGACCUCAAACGGGCUGAUGCUAAACCAACAGUCUUCAUCUUCCCACCAGCUGACGAGCAGGUAAAGAGCGGAAGUGCCUCUGUAGUGUGUUUGGUGAAUGAGUUCUUCCCCAGAGACAUCCAGGUGAAGUGGAAGGUGGACGGUACCCAGCAGACAAGCAACAUCCUGGAGAGCUUCACAGAGCAGGACAGCAAGGGCACCUACAGUCUCAGUAGCACAUUGACACUCCCUGCGAACACCUACAAUGCACAUAAACGCUACGUCUGCGAGAUCACCCACAAGACCCUGCCCUCGCCCCACGAAGAGGGUUUCAACAGGGACGAGUGUUAGAAGGAGGCAGCCUGAGGCACCCAUGCCUGGUCCUCAGUCCCAGCCUCGCCCCCUCCCCUCCCUAGGCCUCUGGCCCCUUCCCCACAAAACACCUAUCCUUAUUUCAGCCCUCCAACUAUCCCCUCAUCUCAUCUCCCCUUCUCUUCUUGUUUGGCUUUAAUCAUACUAAUAUUUGUGGAAAAAGAAAAAGAAUAAAAAUGAAAAUGCCUUGCACCUGUG
Molecule: non-coding RNA, 1334 nt
Organism: Loxodonta africana (African savanna elephant)
Lineage: Eukaryota; Metazoa; Chordata; Mammalia; Proboscidea; Elephantidae
Source: the annotation of a RefSeq genome assembly